UCCUCUUGUCGGGCACAAGAUGAGUUCGAGUGCGCCAAUGGAGAGUGUAUCAGCUUCAGCCUCACCUGUGAUGGUGUCUCCCACUGCAAGGACAAGUCUGAUGAGAAGCCCUCCUACUGCAGUAAGAGCCCCUUUCAGCUCCUGCUCCUCCUAGAUGACAGCUUAGGACCUCCUCCUGAGUCCCCUGGGCCAUGUGACCCAGCUCAUAGCCUGCACUCAAGAAGAGCAGAGUCCAUGGAGGGGACUCAACAGUCAUGGGGUAGGGGCAGCCCCUUCCUGUGCCAGCUGUGACCACCCGCAUCCUCCCUUCACAGACUCACGCCGCUGCAAGAAGACUUUCCGCCAGUGCAACAACGGCCGCUGUGUAUCUAACAUGCUGUGGUGCA
Molecule: long non-coding RNA, 386 nt
Filed under: Rattus norvegicus (Norway rat)
Lineage: Eukaryota; Metazoa; Chordata; Mammalia; Rodentia; Muridae
Description: long non-coding RNA NONRATT026841
Source: RNAcentral